RNAcentral lists this ribosomal RNA (466 nucleotides) under uncultured bacterium. RNAcentral's name for it is "partial 16S ribosomal RNA". It matches the Rfam family "Bacterial small subunit ribosomal RNA", at positions 28 to 507 of the family's 1533-position model. The record is from RNAcentral.
GACGAACGCUGGCGGCGCGCCUAACACAUGCAAGUCGAACGAGCGAGAGAGAGCUUGCUUUCUCAAGCGAGUGGCGAACGGGUGAGUAACGCGUGAGGAACCUGCCUCAAAGAGGGGGACAACAGUUGGAAACGACUGCUAAUACCGCAUAAGCCCACGACCCGGCAUCGGGUAGAGGGAAAAGGAGCAAUCCGCUUUGAGAUGGCCUCGCGUCCGAUUAGCUAGUUGGUGAGGUAACGGCCCGCCAAGGCGACGAUCGGUAGCCGGACUGAGAGGUUGAACGGCCACAUUGGGACUGAGACACGGCCCAGACUCCUACGGGAGGCAGCAGUGGGGAAUAUUGCACAAUGGGGGAAACCCUGAUGCAGCGACGCCGCGUGGAGGAAGAAGGUCUUCGGAUUGUAAACUCCUGUUGUUGAGGAAGAUAAUGACGGUACUCAACAAGGAAGUGACGGCUAACUACGUG